Molecule: ribosomal RNA, 497 nt
Filed under: uncultured bacterium
Lineage: Bacteria
Description: partial 16S ribosomal RNA
Rfam family: Bacterial small subunit ribosomal RNA
Source: RNAcentral
GAUGAACGCUGGCGGCGUGCCUAAUACAUGCAAGUCGAGCGAACAGAUAAGGAGCUUGCUCCUUUGACGUUAGCGGCGGACGGGUGAGUAACACGUGGGUAACCUACCUAUAAGACUGGGAUAACUUCGGGAAACCGGAGCUAAUACCGGAUAAUAUUUCGAACCGCAUGGUUCGAUAGUGAAAGAUGGUUUUGCUAUCACUUAUAGAUGGACCCGCGCCGUAUUAGCUAGUUGGUAAGGUAACGGCUUACCAAGGCGACGAUACGUAGCCGACCUGAGAGGAUGAUCGGCCACACUGGAACUGAGACACGGUCCAGACUCCUACGGGAGGCAGCAGCAGGGAAUCUUCCGCAAUGGGCGAAAGCCUGACGGAGCAACGCCGCGUGAGUGAUGAAGGUCUUCGGAUCGUAAAACUCUGUUAUUAGGGAAGAACAUACGUGUAAGUAACUGUGCACGUCUUGACGGUACCUAAUCAGAAAGCCACGGCUAACUACGUG